Molecule: ribosomal RNA, 279 nt
Filed under: uncultured bacterium
Lineage: Bacteria
Description: partial 16S ribosomal RNA
Rfam family: Bacterial small subunit ribosomal RNA
Source: RNAcentral
UGCCAGCCGCCGCGGUAAUACGGAGGGGGCUAGCGUUGCUCGGAAUUACUGGGCGUAAAGCGCGCGUAGGCGGUGAAUCUAGUCAGGCGUGAAAGCCCAGGGCUUAACCCUGGAAUUGCGUUUGAUACUGGUUUACUAGAAUUCGAGAGAGGGUAGUGGAAUUUCCAGUGUAGAGGUGAAAUUCGUAGAUAUUGGAAAGAACACCAGUGGCGAAGGCGGCUCACUGGCUCGAUACUGACGCUGAGGUACGAAAGUGUGGGGAGCAAACAGGAGUAGAUA